This 305-nucleotide ribosomal RNA is filed under the name uncultured bacterium. RNAcentral describes it as "bacterial SSU rRNA". It matches the Rfam family "Bacterial small subunit ribosomal RNA", at positions 338 to 659 of the family's 1533-position model. The record is from RNAcentral.
CCUACGGGACGCAGCAGUCGGGAAUAUUGCGCAAUGGAGGAAACUCUGACGCAGUGACGCCGCGUGCAGGAAGAAGGUUUUCGGAUUGUAAACUGCUUUAGACAGGGAAGAAACAAGACAGUACCUGUAGAAUAAGCUCCGGCUAACUACGUGCCAGCAGCCGCGGUAAUACGUAGGGGGCAAGCGUUAUCCGGAUUUACUGGGUGUAAAGGGAGCGUAGACGGCAGCGCAAGUCUGGAGUGAAAUGCCGGGGCCCAACCCCGGCACUGCUUUGGAAACUGUGCGGCUCGAGUGCGGGAGAGGUG